Molecule: non-coding RNA, 249 nt
Organism: Pelobates cultripes (western spadefoot toad)
Lineage: Eukaryota; Metazoa; Chordata; Amphibia; Anura; Pelobatidae
Source: the annotation of a GenBank genome assembly
GCAGCAUCAUCAGCUACCACAAUAUUUCUCUUUUCUAACCCCUCAUUGGUUGGCCACGAUGGCAGCCAUCUUUGGUCAGGUAUCCCUUGGCUGUCUGCCAAUACUUUUCUAGUUACAUCAUUGGAACCAAACAAGAGUUGUCUGGUAGCAGAUGGAAGGAUCAACUUCCUUCCUCUUUCCUCUGCUGGUUCAUUGGGCAGGAAGUCAGAUGACAACAUUUUAAGGCUCCAGUCAUGUAAUGUUAUAGAG